Molecule: unclassified non-coding RNA, 300 nt
Filed under: uncultured fungus
Lineage: Eukaryota; Fungi
Description: sequence contains 5.8S rRNA gene, ITS2
Rfam family: 5.8S ribosomal RNA (bases 1-70)
Source: RNAcentral
GUGAGUCAUCGAAUCUUUGAACGCAAAUGGCGCUCUCGGCAAUACCGGGAGCAUGUCUGUCUGAGUGUCAUUUAAAUAACCUCACGCCGGCCCGCCAGUGUUACAGCUGUGCCGUGGAUGGUGUGGUUUUGAGGUGGUCACGGACCUUUUUAGAAAUUCAAAGUCCGAGUCCCUUUAAAGAACGAGACGCGCAAAGCCGAUUUUAUCUUCGAAAUCGCUCGCCCUUUAAUGGUGUGACAAUUUGCUCGAAUGCGUAGCACUUUCAACGCCAGGCCUGGGGAGGAGAUGGCAACGAAGAGG